RNAcentral lists this ribosomal RNA (938 nucleotides) under Mastigamoeba abducta. RNAcentral describes it as "SSU rRNA". It matches the Rfam family "Eukaryotic small subunit ribosomal RNA", at positions 59 to 459 of the family's 1831-position model. Lineage: Eukaryota; Evosea; Mastigamoebida; Mastigamoebidae. The record is from RNAcentral.
CUAAGUACAGGUAGCAAAACCGAAACUGCGGAUGGCUCAUUACAACAGUUAUUAUUGAAAUAGUGAAUAUUUGGAAGAGUGAAGGCUGAGGGGCAAGCUCUCGCAAGAGGGCGACCCUUGUCUUUGGGAAUUCAAGAAUGAAAUAGAUAGAUGGAUAACCCUGCUAAUCGUAGAGCUAAUACAUGAAGUCAAGGCUCGAGGGAAAGUGGGAAGCAGACAGGCCGAGGCAUGGGGAGGGCGGAGAAGCGAAAAGUCAGCGCCCCGCAUUUGACAACCCUGCACCAACUCCGGGGCAAUGAGAAAGCCUGGAGUGGGGGAGGAUCACACGCCGCGCCCAUGCGAGUAGGUUGCUGGAGCCCACACACCACAGAGCCGCGUUUGUCAGCAAAGCGAGGAUGGAGAGCAGGCGAGGUGUUGCGACGAGGAGAGGGGGUCAAACUCCUGGAAUCGGUUGCGAUGGCUCAGCUUGAUAUUAGGAGACGAAGACAUGAGAAUGCAUCGUGGGGAAUUUGGGGGAUACAACCCGGCCACAGAUGACAAUGUCAUGAGGAUAAAAACGGACCGUUGGAUGAGUCAAGUCGGGGAAGAGAAGUGAAAACAAAAAGCCGUUUGUUGAGAAUCCAGCUCGACGGGGUCAAACUCGUUGGGAGGGAGAGGAGACAAAAUGACAAAAGCUGAUUUGACACGACGGGGUGAAUGAGUCUCCAAGUGAGAUAGGACAAAGGAGCAAAUUGCAAAUAAAAGGGAUAUCUUCACGGGUGUCUCUGGCAAUACACUAGAGAAAUUUCUGACCUAUCAACUAGAUGGUAGGAUAGGGGCCUACCAUGGUUGUCACGGGUAACGAGGAAUUAGGGUUCGAUUUCGGAGAGUUGGCCUGGGAAACGGCGAACACUUCCAAGGAAGGCAGCAGGCGCGUAAAUUACUCGGUGCCAAUACGG